RNAcentral lists this small RNA (582 nucleotides) under Pongo abelii (Sumatran orangutan). RNAcentral describes it as "processed transcript". Lineage: Eukaryota; Metazoa; Chordata; Mammalia; Primates; Hominidae. The record is from RNAcentral.
CUCUCCCGCCAGGGACCAGUGAGUGAACACUCACUGGUCCAGUCAUGAGGAAUUCAGCAUCCUCCUGACGGGAGGCGCCUCUUUCCCAGAAGCGGUGGGUCAGGAGGAAUCUGACUAAACCCUGUGUUGCCGGCCCGGAAGGCGCGGUUGCCGCCGGGGCCUCGAGGUUGUGGGCGAGGAGUAAUCCUCCCGCCGGGACCGACCCGCAGAUCCAGGAGGCCGAAACCCGAGGGCGGAGCACCAGGGUGCUGAGGCGACCGGAAAGGCGGCCAGGACCUUCCGGUCGCCUCGGCCCACCACCCACAGUGUCCGCGCAGCCCUAAAGCCUGGCAGACGCAGGGCGCACGCGGCCUUUGCCUCGGCCAGGACAGGGCGGCGGGGAGAGGGCUGCUAGACAACAAUUCUUGACCCCUCCUCGACCUACGACCGCCGGCCAGGACUAAAAGAAGUGGUAGAAUCCUGUCGAGGAAAAAAUCUUUUUUUUUCUACCAAUAUUGAUGAUGCCAUCAAAGAAGCUGAUCUUGUAUUUAUUUCUGUGAAUACUCCAACAAAAACCUAUGGAAUGGGGAAAGGCCGGGCAGC